Patella vulgata (common limpet) is the source of this 482-nucleotide long non-coding RNA. RefSeq lists it as uncharacterized. The record is from RefSeq and is a predicted model, not a curated record. NCBI's taxonomy places the organism in Eukaryota, Metazoa, Mollusca, Gastropoda, Patellidae. The transcript has 3 exons.
GACAGCUUCAAAGGUACGACUCGUGUUUGCAGGGCGUCAUGGAUGAGUUGGUUUUAACACCGGCACUAUUGUAUGAAGAUGGGUGACCUAUGUAUGCUAGGUCACGCCUACUGACAGGGGCUACACAGUUUACCUAACGGGAAAUCUAGCACUGUAGUCUUUGAUCGAACCGACACAGUGCAGUCUGCUGCAGAAGGACUAUCACUUUAAACUGAAGUGUUUUCAAACAACAUGUUCCCGGCUAAUAAAAAUAACAUCCUUCGAGAAUAGAGAACAGUCUGACCUAAUUUAUAAACGUGAAAUGUUUGAAUUUUAGAAAUGCAUAGUGUGCAAUUUAAUUAACAGUUUUAAAAAAAAUUAGAGAUCCUCCCUUGCAUCUAAUAUCUGGGAGAAAAAAAAUCAAUAUUUGUUUUACUGAAAGACCGUCACUUUAAAUAAAAAUAUCAAGUGUACUCAAAACAACAUGUUCUCGGUUAAUAUUA